ACACGACUCUCGGCAACGGAUAUCUCGGCUCUCGCAUCGAUGGAGAACGUAGCGAAAUGCGAUACCUGGUGUGAAUUGCAGAAUCCCGCGAACCAUCGAGUCUUUGAACGCAAGUUGCGCCCGAGCCAUUCGGCCGAGGGCACGCCUGCCUGGGCGUCACGC
Molecule: ribosomal RNA, 162 nt
Filed under: Avena fatua
Lineage: Eukaryota; Viridiplantae; Streptophyta; Magnoliopsida; Poales; Poaceae
Description: 5.8S ribosomal RNA
Rfam family: 5.8S ribosomal RNA
About the family: 5.8S ribosomal RNA (5.8S rRNA) is a component of the large subunit of the eukaryotic ribosome. It is transcribed by RNA polymerase I as part of the 45S precursor that also contains 18S and 28S rRNA. Functionally, it is thought that 5.8S rRNA may be involved in ribosome translocation.
Source: RNAcentral